CCUACGGGUGGCUGCAGUGGGGAAUAUUGGACAAUGGGGGCAACCCUGAUCCAGCCAUGCCGCGUGUGUGAAGAAGGCCCUCGGGUUGUAAAGCACUUUCAGUGAGGAAGAACGCCUGGUGGUUAAUACCCAUCAGGAAAGACAUCACUCACAGAAGAAGCACCGGCUAACUCCGUGCCAGCAGCCGCGGUAAUACGGAGGGUGCGAGCGUUAAUCGGAAUUACUGGGCGUAAAGCGCGCGUAGGUGGCUUGAUAAGCCGGUUGUGAAAGCCCCGGGCUCAACCUGGGAACGGCAUCCGGAACUGUCAAGCUAGAGUGCAGGAGAGGAAGGUAGAAUUCCCGGUGUAGCGGUGAAAUGCGUAGAGAUCGGGAGGAAUACCAGUGGCGAAGGCGGCCUUCUGGACUGACACUGACACUGAGGUGCGAAAGCGUGGGUAGCGAACAGGAUUAGAUACCCUGGUAGUC
This 465-nucleotide ribosomal RNA is filed under the name Vreelandella stevensii. Its description in RNAcentral is "partial 16S ribosomal RNA". It matches the Rfam family "Bacterial small subunit ribosomal RNA", at positions 338 to 795 of the family's 1533-position model. The record is from RNAcentral. Lineage: Bacteria; Pseudomonadati; Pseudomonadota; Gammaproteobacteria; Oceanospirillales; Halomonadaceae.